GACGAAGGUGGCAAGCGUUGUUCGGAUUCACUGGGCAUAAAGGGCGCGUAGGCGGUUUCGUAAGCGGCAUGUGAAAGCCCCUGGCUCAACCAGGGAAGUGCGUGCCGGACUGCGAAGCUAGAGGGUGGUAGGGGGGACUGGAACUCUCGGUGGAGCGGUGAAAUGCGUAGAUAUCGAGAGGAACACCGGUGGCGAAGGCGAGUCCCUGGUCCACUUCUGACGCUGAGGCGCGAAAGCGUGGGUAGCAAACAGG
This 253-nucleotide ribosomal RNA is filed under the name uncultured bacterium. Its description in RNAcentral is "partial 16S ribosomal RNA". It matches the Rfam family "Bacterial small subunit ribosomal RNA", at positions 524 to 776 of the family's 1533-position model. The record is from RNAcentral.